Mangifera indica (mango) is the source of this 470-nucleotide long non-coding RNA. RefSeq lists it as uncharacterized. The transcript is spliced from 2 exons. Lineage: Eukaryota; Viridiplantae; Streptophyta; Magnoliopsida; Sapindales; Anacardiaceae. The record is from RefSeq and is a predicted model, not a curated record.
GUAUGCAAAACAUAUCAUCUCAAAAGCAUGCACUUAGUAUUAUAUUCAAUCUUAUAAACUUAUAUAUGACUUUCUUCAGCAGUAGUUAAUUUGAGAGAAUUUUUAUGCUGAUGAUAAUCCAUCUAUUAAAGUUUCAAGCUUCAUAGGACAGCACAAUGGAGGCAUUUAACCUCUCUCCACAUCAACUUCUUCAUCUCCCACUUGUCCCCUCACCCUUCUCCUGUUAACAUGUGGGUGGAGAGUUUUCAAAGACGACGACUUCUUCUAGCUCAAAUAAUGUGCAGCAAUUACAAGAAAAUUGAGAUUAGAGAACAGAGAUUUCGCAAAAUAAUUAACCUAAUUAUUUUUAUGUGAAACCUCAGACAUUGUAAAGAGCUGAGCUGCACGCUUGCUUCUUUUAUUGUCAUCAAAAUAUGCAAUUCUAUCAAAUCUCAUGUCUCAAUACAUGAACUCUUGAUUUGAAGAGUUCU